GCCAAUUUUACAAAAUACAGACAACAAACAUAAACACGUUCUCACCUUCAAGAUUAAUAUGUGGGUCAGCGUUCGCCAGAGUGACCCUUCAUUCAUCACCAAUGUUCAUAAUGUUACCUUGGUGACUGCGUUUAAUCUCCCCACAGAGACUUCUAUCCCAAUCUGACCCUUAACCCGGAUGAAAGGAAUGUCAGUGAGGUCACACACUCCUCCAGUCCAUUUUGUACAUGACCAUUUGCCUUUGACGGGAUGCUUGCAGAAUCAGUAUUCAGGGAUAAUAAAAUCUUGCAUUUUGCAUAUUGUCCAGAUACAUUUAUUGCAAAACAGACUCUUCUCUCCUGUCCCGCCAAUUUAUUGGCAGUUUACGUUAAGUAAAUGGGUAAAGCCACUUCCUCCCAAAAAUCAUGAGAAGCCUCGAAAAACAAAAGAAUCCUGCUGCUCUUUAAUGUUGGCAAAAUUGCCAAAAAUACAGAUUUUAAAGGUACAUCAAAUUUAUUACAUCAUUGUACGUGAGGAAUUUUUCACGCUUUCAGAGGAGUAACAUAAAGUGGUAACAGUAAUGCUUUAUACACACACACACAUAUAUAUAUAUAUAUUUGUAAUUGCGGUUGCUGGGAUAGUUAAAAUAGAGCUAGAAAAUACUGUGCAAAAUGUUAGUUUAAAAAGAUCUGAUCACAUGUAUUCUGAUUUCAAUUAUAGUUUUUUUCCUAUAAGUUUUAGAUCAAAUUACUUAUUCAUUUCAGUAAAUCAGAAGAUUAUAAAACAAUGAAGGCGAGCAGGUGCUACUGUACAUAACUCACAAGAAAUACAUUUAAUGUGGUCAUUUUUAAAAGAUGUGUGUCCUGGGUCUAAAAUACCCUCAGUGCAGUUUCCCAUGAAAAUAUUUUUAAGAAAUCUUAUUUUAUUCAAAGUUUUAGAAAUGUGCAAAAAACAAAAUGAGACAUAUCAAGGGAGGAAUCUUACAAGCUGAGUGGAGAACGAUCUGAAAAAUUGGGGGGUUUAUUAAAUUAUAGAUUAGUCUAUUAAAUUGGGGUACUGCAUCUGUAGUACAUAAUUAAACACGCUGGAAAUGAUACAGUGAGUAAAUAUCUUAACUAAUUUAAGAGAAAUGAAUCCUUUUUAAAGACUUACAUAUUUCACUGACAGUUUCCAAGUCCAGUUACAAUUAAUUCAUUUUAUUUGGGCAUAUUUAGUUUAAAAUAUUACAAUAUUUUUUUAUAUUCUUGAUCGAUUACCGUUUCGGUUAAGAUUCUGCUUUAAGCAAGAUGAUUCAGAACGUGCUGAACUACAUUUGUGAGCUAAACAGGCAAAUAAACUAUUGAAAGUUGGUGCACUGAUUUGUCUUCAGGGAUAUUAGCCACUUUACUCACUGUAUCGAUUAUAUAAAUCUUGUAGGUCAAAAUCAAAGAAAAGGAACAGUUAGAUGUUUUUUGUAAAAACAGUAAUAAAUAUAAUUGUACUUUAGUUAUAGAUUCAAAGUGUUUUUAAUGUUUUUCUACAGAAUUGAUGACAAAAAAUUGGUAAUAAUGCAAAAAAGGUAAGUGCGGCCCAAUAUUUUUAUGAGCUUAUGCGUCCCAUUUACAAUAUGCAGGCAUCACUUACACUUUGAAUAUAAUCCUAAAGUUUUUUAAAGCAUCUUUUACAUUUCUCAGCCAUGCAUUCUCUUUAAAAAAAAACUGAGACAACUCGAACGUUAACAGAGAUGUCAAGUCGUCAAACAAGAAGAAGAUUUUUUGCUUUAUCGGAGCAAACAAGAUUCUGGAUGAUUCUGGACCAUCAGAGGUGGAUUUUUCUUCACUAUUUUAGAAGAGAAAGCACAUGCGCUUACAUUAUUAAUAAUAAAACAUGCUGAGAGGAUAUUCUACUUUGGGUCUGAUGCUAUUAGACCAUAUUUGAAAAAAAUGUUUGUCCGCAACAUUUAAAGAGCAACGACUACUUCAUAAAACAGAAUUACUGAAUAGGACAAUUUAGAUUUGAUGAAAAUUAACAUUCUUAAUGCAAUAUCCACAAGCAGCAAUAGCCUCUGGUUUUUGGUUACUGUGUGCAUUGCUCCCUCUACUGGUUAAUAAUUACUGAAAGAAGCUGUUGAAUUCUGUAACUCACCAUUAAAUAUUAUGACAAUAUAUUUCUGUUUGAGGAAAAGUGACCUGUCAAACCAUCUUUAAUAUAGCUUAUAAUGAACUUAUGUAAGGGGUUUCUUUGCUGUUAGAUUGCAAUAUUCCCUUUGAGUUAAGAAAACACAAAGGAUCUUUGUGUUUUUCAGUUUUUAGCCAUCCAAUAAUAAGACAAAAAGCUUCUGAUUGUCAGCGUCCUCAGCAGGUAAUUCAAAAUCUUGGUGCGGGAACCAAAUUCCAGCACAGUCCAGGAAGGUUUGGGCUUUUUUUUGGUGUUCCUUCUCAUACUUUGCUGAGGCGAGUUAGCAUUUCAUGGGCUGACGAACCUGAGAUUGAGCCUAAAAUCACCAUUCUCAGGUUGGACAGUCCUUGAAAGGACUACUCAAGAUUUAAAGCGGGACCGGAUGUGUUGUUCAGGCCGCUCUGCGAGCCGCCACACGCAGAGUCCACACUGAAGGCAAACGUGUACAAAAAUAAAAUUACUUGACAAAGAAAAGAUGAGAAUGUGUCUAUGAUACCACUCCACAUGUGAUUACACAUCUGGAAAUAUACACCUGCUGAUGGAUAAUCUAGUGAGCGGUUUUUCCAUAAUUCGGAGGCACAAAUAUCUGCUUUAUGACCUCGUGGUGGAGAGCUGAAAUUAUAUUUUGUAGUAAUAAUAUUUUGGCCACCAACAUUUCUAAUUGCUCUGAACUAAAUAUCACUCAAAGGUAGAUUUUUUUUUUCUAAAGCUAAACAUAAGAAUU
Long non-coding RNA from Oreochromis aureus, 2860 nucleotides. Lineage: Eukaryota; Metazoa; Chordata; Actinopteri; Cichliformes; Cichlidae. The record is from Ensembl.